CCACUCUCCCUCUCUCAUUCACUAUCAUCUUUUUUUAAGACCAUUCAAAGUGUUCUCUCAAUAUUCAACCUCAAGAACACCAAGGAAAACUUGGAGGCUAAGUCUUGGUCUAGGAAGUAUUUUCCCUAAGUUGGUUAGGGUUUUUGAAAGGUUUUGGAGGAGCCAAAGCUAAUAGGAAGGUCCAAACCUUAAGCAAGAACACCAAAGAGGUAAGAGCAAGGGCAAGGCAGAGCAGUGAGCGCUGGAGUCUUCCUUGCAAAUGUACAUGUGGACCGACCUUUUGGGAAGCCUUUUUAUUUUUGGAAAUGUUGUGUAAUUUUCCUAAACUAGGCUCACUCUAAUCUUUAUAAAACAUGUUUGUAACUAAAUGUUAAGUAUGGCCAUACGACUUUUUAAAAAAGUUUUUUUUUAUACGGGUUUUUGAGACAUUUUGUUAAAUGAAAACAUUUAUAUUUCCGCAU
Molecule: long non-coding RNA, 461 nt
Organism: Humulus lupulus (European hop)
Lineage: Eukaryota; Viridiplantae; Streptophyta; Magnoliopsida; Rosales; Cannabaceae
Exons: 3
Source: RefSeq, a predicted model, not a curated record